This 498-nucleotide ribosomal RNA is filed under the name uncultured bacterium. RNAcentral describes it as "partial 16S ribosomal RNA". It matches the Rfam family "Bacterial small subunit ribosomal RNA", at positions 28 to 507 of the family's 1533-position model. The record is from RNAcentral.
GACGAACGCUGGCGGCGUGCCUAAUACAUGCAAGUCGAACGAGAGCACCCGGUGCUUGCCCUGGUCAAUCUAGUGGCGAACGGGUGAGUAACACGUGGGUAACCUGCCCAUCAGAGGGGGAUAACAUCCGGAAACGGAUGCUAAAACCGCAUAGGUCUUCGAACCGCAUGGUUUGAAGAGGAAAAGAGGCGCAAGCUUCUGCUGAUGGAUGGACCCGCGGUGCAUUAGCUAGUUGGUGAGGUAACGGCUCACCAAGGCCGUGAUGCAUAGCCGACCUGAGAGGGUGAUCGGCCACAUUGGGACUGAGACACGGCCCAAACUCCUACGGGAGGCAGCAGUAGGGAAUCUUCCGCAAUGGACGCAAGUCUGACGGAGCAACGCCGCGUGAGUGAAGAAGGUGUUCGGAUCGUAAAACUCUGUUGUUAGAGAAGAACAAGUGCUAGAGUAACUGUUAGCGCCUUGACGGUAUCUAACCAGAAAGCCACGGCUAACUACGUG